This is a ribosomal RNA of 95 nucleotides. It matches the Rfam family "5.8S ribosomal RNA", at positions 62 to 154 of the family's 154-position model. From Rfam's summary of the family: 5.8S ribosomal RNA (5.8S rRNA) is a component of the large subunit of the eukaryotic ribosome. It is transcribed by RNA polymerase I as part of the 45S precursor that also contains 18S and 28S rRNA.
CUGGUGUGAAUUGCAGAAUCCCGUGAACCAUCGAGUCUUUGAACGCAAGUUGCGCCCGAAGCCACUAGGCUGAGGGCACGUCUGCCUGGGUGUCA